CCUACGGGAGGCUGCAGUGGGGAAUAUUGCACAAUGGAGGAAACUCUGAUGCAGCGACGUCGCGUGAACGAUGAAGGCUUUCGGGUCGUAAAGUUUUGUCCUUGGGGAAGAUUAUGACGGUACCCGAGGAGGAAGCCCCGGCUAACUACGUGCCAGCAGCCGCGGUAAUACGUAGGGGGCGAGCGUUGUCCGGAUUUAUUGGGCGUAAAGGGUUCGCAGGUGGCCUUUUAAGUCAGAUGUGAAAGAUCACAGCUCAACUGUGGUAAGCAUUUGAAACUGAAAGGCUUGAGUUAAGGAGAGGAAAGUGGAAUUCCUAGUGUAGCGGUGAAAUGCGUAGAUAUUAGGAGGAAUACCAGUGGCGAAGGCGACUUUCUGGACUUAUACUGACACUGAGGAACGAAAGCGUGGGGAGCAAACAGGAUUAGAUACCCCAGUAGUC
This 439-nucleotide ribosomal RNA is filed under the name uncultured Tissierella sp. RNAcentral describes it as "bacterial SSU rRNA". It matches the Rfam family "Bacterial small subunit ribosomal RNA", at positions 338 to 795 of the family's 1533-position model. Lineage: Bacteria; Bacillati; Bacillota; Tissierellia; Tissierellales; Tissierellaceae. The record is from RNAcentral.